Long non-coding RNA from Carassius gibelio (silver crucian carp), 913 nucleotides. RefSeq lists it as uncharacterized. The transcript is spliced from 2 exons. NCBI's taxonomy places the organism in Eukaryota, Metazoa, Chordata, Actinopteri, Cypriniformes, Cyprinidae. The record is from RefSeq and is a predicted model, not a curated record.
GAGAUGGGUAUAAACGGAGGUCGGAGCCAGCUCCAAAUGGGCGGGUCAGCUCCAAAUGGGUGGGACUUCAGCUCCAAGUGGGCUGUACAAACCUCCAGAGCCUUUUGAUUGGUUUAUUUAAUGUCAGAGGGUUAAUGCACGCUGCGAAUCCCCCCCCCACCACCACCAAAAAAAAAAAAAAAAAAAAAAAAGAAAGAAAGAAAGAAAAAAAAAAAGACGACGUCAACUUCCCAAGGCUUUUCAGCGUCAAGAAAGAGGAAUUUGAAGGGGCAGCAGCGGAUCUACUCCAAUCAUCAUUAACGGGACCACAGUGGAGAGAGUGAGCAGCUUCAAAUACCUUCAAAUGCCCUGCAAAGAGUAGCUGAGCACAUGUCCAGAACAUCUCUCCCCUCUCUGCAAGACAUCCACACCAGAAGAUGUAAAUCUAAGGCUGUUUAGAUCCUUAAAGACCCCACCCACCCUGGAAAUCCACUGUUCCAUCUGCUACAGUCAGGCGGACGAUUCUGCAGUCUGAUGACAAAAACAGAUAGGUUCAGGAGGAGUUUCUUCCCUCAUGCUAUCAGACUACUAAACAUGGACAUUAAACACACUGAACUUUAUAGACCGGUUGUUUAGGGCUACCCAAUAACUCUCUGCACACUGCUUUUUUGACAACCUAACUAUGCAACUCCUCCUCACUGCACAUUGUCUACAUCUCUGCACAUCAUCUGUGUAGCAGUUUCUGUGUAGCUUCUCUACAAAUCAUCUGUGUAGUAGUUUAAUACAGUAUAUUGUGUAUAUUUUAUACAGUAUAUUUUUUCCUGUUGUUUCAUUAUUUUAUUUUUUUUGCACAGUCUAAAAAGAGUAUGCCAGACCUACAUUUCACUGCUUUUUGCAUGUCAUAUAACAAAUAAAACUUGAAUUUUUAAUGGUG